Molecule: transfer RNA, 89 nt
Filed under: Hypoxylon sp. FL0543
Lineage: Eukaryota; Fungi; Ascomycota; Sordariomycetes; Xylariales; Hypoxylaceae
Description: tRNA-Ala
Rfam family: tRNA
About the family: Transfer RNA (tRNA) molecules are approximately 80 nucleotides in length. Their secondary structure includes four short double-helical elements and three loops (D, anti-codon, and T loops).
Source: RNAcentral
GGGCGUGUAACUCAGUGGUAGAGUGCUCGCUUUGCAUCCUUCCGGUGCUGAAUUGCGAGAAGCCCAGGGUUCGACUCCCUGCUCGUCCA